AUGUCAUCGUCGAUGCCGCGGCCACCGCGCUCCUCGCGCCUCAAGAAGAUGCCCAGAAGAACCGCCACGGUCCACUUCGUCCUUCCCGAGCACAAAACCGAGUCGGGGCAGCUCGUACGCCCGCCAACGCCACCAUCUUCACCACGUACAUCUACGUCGUCCGUCGUCGUUUGCCGCCGCUCCGGUCCAGCCCCGGCCUCCCCGACCUUGCCUUUGUGUUCAUUGUGA
RNAcentral lists this ribosomal RNA (228 nucleotides) under Triticum aestivum (bread wheat). RNAcentral describes it as "partial small subunit ribosomal RNA". The record is from RNAcentral. Lineage: Eukaryota; Viridiplantae; Streptophyta; Magnoliopsida; Poales; Poaceae.